This 70-nucleotide transfer RNA is filed under the name Ocydromia sp. DY-2020. RNAcentral describes it as "tRNA-Trp". It matches the Rfam family "tRNA". From Rfam's summary of the family: Transfer RNA (tRNA) molecules are approximately 80 nucleotides in length. Their secondary structure includes four short double-helical elements and three loops (D, anti-codon, and T loops). Lineage: Eukaryota; Metazoa; Arthropoda; Insecta; Diptera; Hybotidae. The record is from RNAcentral.
AAGGCUUUAAGUUAAAAAAACUAAUAGCCUUCAAAGCUAUAAAUAUAAGAUUCUACCCUUUUAAGCUUUA